ACAAACUAAAAGGGAUUCUGGAACUCGGACCUAAUAGUUGUCACACAAACACAAAGAGACGCUGAGACGUCAAAAGAGAUAAAAGGUUGAAAAAAGAAAAAAAAGGAAAAAGGUUGCCUGGAGAGACCUCGCACAAUCUCCUGCCUACGUAUCUCAUAUGGUAUGAGAAUCAGGGCGACGUAGUUCCCCUUAACAGGGGAAAGAACAAACAAACUAAUAGGGAGUCUGGAACUCGAACCUAAUAGUGGCAAACAAAC
Molecule: long non-coding RNA, 257 nt
Filed under: Lathyrus oleraceus (garden pea)
Lineage: Eukaryota; Viridiplantae; Streptophyta; Magnoliopsida; Fabales; Fabaceae
Description: Pisum sativum (pea) long non-coding RNA (PSAT_LNC006298)
Source: RNAcentral